CCACCAGCAGAGUAACUCCUGUCGCUGCCAGCGGGGACAGUCCCAAGUGACCAGGGAGCAGGUGGAGAUCUAAAGUCCAUGGGAGAAGAGAAGAAGCCCUCCUCUCACCUCCCCACGCCAGGGACCAGCCCCUCGAAUUCCGCAGAGCCUGGAGUUGCAGGAACAGGAAGCAGAGAAUUCCCAAGGUUUGCUGCAUCCAAAUAAGAAUGACUUCCUCUUGGCAUGAAAUGGAACUCCAACAGGGACUCGCUGCAGCACAGAAAAGCCAAACCGCCAAUCUGAAUAAAUAAGCAUAAAUUUUA
This is a long non-coding RNA of Equus quagga, 302 nucleotides long. RefSeq lists it as uncharacterized. NCBI's taxonomy places the organism in Eukaryota, Metazoa, Chordata, Mammalia, Perissodactyla, Equidae. The record is from RefSeq and is a predicted model, not a curated record. The transcript has 2 exons.